GCGGGCGUAGCUCAGUGGUAGAGCGUGUCCUUGCCAAGGACGAGGCCGUGGGUUCGAAUCCCAUCGCCCGCUCCA
This 75-nucleotide transfer RNA is filed under the name Chloroflexota bacterium. RNAcentral's name for it is "tRNA-Gly". It matches the Rfam family "tRNA". Rfam says of the family: Transfer RNA (tRNA) molecules are approximately 80 nucleotides in length. Their secondary structure includes four short double-helical elements and three loops (D, anti-codon, and T loops). RNAcentral also lists the same sequence under 1 other name. The record is from RNAcentral. Lineage: Bacteria; Bacillati; Chloroflexota.